GGGGAAUCUUCCGCAAUGGGCGAAAGCCUGACGGAGCAACGCCGCGUGAGUGAAGACGGCCUUCGGGUUGUAAAGCUCUGUUAUACGGGACGAAUAAUCUUGUGGUUAAUACCCAUAGGAAGUGACGGUACCGUAAGAGAAAGCCACGGCUAACUACGUGCCAGCAGCCGCGGUAAUACGUAGGUGGCAAGCGUUGUCCGGAAUUAUUGGGCGUAAAGGGCGCGCAGGCGGCUUCUUAAGUCUGUCUUAAAAGUGCGGGGCUUAACCCCGUGAUGGGAUGGAAACUGGGAAGCUCAGAGUAUCGGAGAGGAAAGCGGAAUUCCUAGUGUAGCGGUGAAAUGCGUAGAUAUUAGGAGGAACACCAGUGGCGAAAGCGGCUUUCUGGACGAAAACUGACGCUGAGGCGCGAAAGCCAGGGGAGCGAACGGGAUUAGAUACCCCGGUAGUCCUGGCCGUAAACGAUGGGUACUAGGUGUAGGAGGUAUCGACCCCUUCUGUGCCGGAGUUAACGCAAUAAGUACCCCGCCUGGGGAGUACGGCCGCAAGGUUG
RNAcentral lists this ribosomal RNA (550 nucleotides) under uncultured bacterium. RNAcentral describes it as "bacterial SSU rRNA". It matches the Rfam family "Bacterial small subunit ribosomal RNA", at positions 356 to 896 of the family's 1533-position model. The record is from RNAcentral.